Canis lupus familiaris (dog) is the source of this 443-nucleotide long non-coding RNA. RefSeq lists it as uncharacterized. The transcript has 2 exons. The record is from RefSeq and is a predicted model, not a curated record. Lineage: Eukaryota; Metazoa; Chordata; Mammalia; Carnivora; Canidae.
CGACGCCGCAGGAAGCCGGGGAGACGCCCCCUUCGUCUUCUAGUGGAGCAGGCCGAGGACCCCUUCGGGUGUCGGGCUGCCUCUGGCAGACGCCUGAUCAUAAAGCACAAUUUGGGGUCGUCCUCUCCCGAUGUCCCCCAAUGUGCGCCUCAGACGGGCCUUUGAAAAGUUUUCUGUGCGUGUGUGAGUAACUCAGGGGACUCGCAAGUCUUCAAGCCUGAAGAAUUUUUAAUCAGGCGCGCCCCGGACAGCCCAGCACCACGGCCUCAUGGUCCCCUCAUGCAUAUGCAGCAGAUUGUGAUCCUCGCUCGCUGAGCGCCGAGGGGGCGUACCUUAGGCUCCGUAGCUUAGAAACAUACUGGAUGUGGCCUCUCUCUAUUUUGCUGCCUGCGGACUGAGGGAUCAAUGCACCCAUGCCAGGUACACCCAAAAUAACACUGGAA